GACGUAGGAGGCGAGCGUUGUCCGGAUUCAUUGGGCGUAAAGAGCACGCAGGCGGUUUGGCAAGUCGGAUGUGAAAACCCGAAGCUCAACUUCGGGCCUGCAUCCGAAACUGCCCGACUAGAGGUAGGUAGGGGAGAUCGGAAUUCCUGGUGUAGCGGUGAAAUGCGCAGAUAUCAGGAGGAACACCGGUGGCGAAGGCGGAUCUCUGGGCCUUACCUGACGCUGAGGCGCGAAAGCUAGGGGAGCGAACAGG
Molecule: ribosomal RNA, 253 nt
Filed under: uncultured bacterium
Lineage: Bacteria
Description: partial 16S ribosomal RNA
Rfam family: Bacterial small subunit ribosomal RNA
Source: RNAcentral